Molecule: long non-coding RNA, 1755 nt
Organism: Rosa rugosa (rugosa rose)
Lineage: Eukaryota; Viridiplantae; Streptophyta; Magnoliopsida; Rosales; Rosaceae
Exons: 8
Source: RefSeq, a predicted model, not a curated record
AAAAUCAAAACCCUCUCUCGACAGCGCCUCACUCUCGCCUCGCCUCACUCUCGACAGACCCAAACUCAAAACCAAAACUCUCUCUCGACUUGCCUCACACUCUGCACUCACUGGCAACCCCAACACUCCCUCUGCUUGGCAAAACCCGACCUCUCUCCCCCUCGACAAACCUUUUCUCGUCAAACCCUAUUUCUUCUUCUACAAACCCCAACCAAAGCUCUCUCUCUCUCUCUUCUCGACAAACCCAGACCAAAACCUAAUGGGUUAUUCGAUCUGGGAAAUAGUGAAGCCCUUCAUCGAUGUUGACCUCAACAACUCCGAGCUCUAUUCUGACCGCGCUCAGGCUAACAUCAAAUCCAACUAUCUCUGGUAACAACCCCCCUCUCUCUUGCAAUUUCCGAGAUCGGCUGUGUGUUUUUUGCUUUGUACAAAGUGAAAGAGAAAGAGAUUUGGGUAAUUUCUGGGCAUUUAAAAAGAUAAAUGCCCAAAUCGGUGAGUCGCUGUCUCGAAGAUUAGGGUUCUCCUGCCGCCGCUUGCCAUCGCCAUCGCCUCUCUUCAGUCUGGGUUCAAAUUUCAAAAUGACGAAGUCGCCAUCGCCAUUGUCCUUUCUGGCUCUCCUCUGUCCUCUCUGGCUCUCUCCCUCUCCAGGCUCCAGCAUGGUCACACAUCGACAAAACACAUCGACUGAGCAAUUUGCUCUCUUCAACUCUUCGGUCUCUUCCUGAAGCCGUCAAGCAACAAAGCAGAUUCUGGGUUCGACUCUUCAAGCUCAGUCAGUCGCUGAUUCUUCAAGGCUCAAGCUCGCUGCUUAGAGAAGCUAGCACUUCCGUUUUGGAGAUACUGAAAGUUGAUGUUAUCUCAUUUUUGUACAUUCCAAUACAGGUAGUUGGAAAAAAAGUAUAUAAGGCUCUAUCAUGCUUCAUUGUCAGAGGAACUCUAUGCACAUACUGAAACCAUGCUUUGCAACUCAAGUCAGAAUACCAAUUGCAGUGGGUUUCUUGGAAUGCAUGGUUGAAGGUCUUUGAUGCUGCAAUUGGCAACAUUGCCAUUGUUACAAAUUGAACGAAGAUGGUGGAUUUUACACAACUAUAUGCUGCAUCUGGACUUGUUGUAGUGGCCCCCUUUAAAAAAUUGAACUCUGGUGCUUGGACCUUCCUUCGACCAUUUACUGCACACAUGUGGAUAGUCAUUGCUGCUUCCUUUUUUGUUAUUGGUAUAGUUGUGAAGAUUUUGGAGCAUAGGAUAAAUGAUGAAUUCAGGGGUCCACCAAAGAAGCAACUUAUAACCAUCUUGUGGUUAUUGUGAAGGAGGGGAAACAUUUAAGUUCUGCUUCUUGGUUGCUUCUGUAAGUCAUUGAUGCACUGAAAAAUCAGUGAGACAGCGGUGGAUUCUGAGAAUGCUGUAGCUGCCGUAAAUGUAAGUACUUGGAGCACCAAAUGAGUGUAUUUGGCUGCUGUAUAAUUAGCACAACAACUUCCUGUUUUUGGAGCACUGCAACAUCCUAGAACUCUUUCAAUGAGGAAGCCCCAUUACUGUUCUUUAGGCCAUGGAGAGUGCCAAUGUUUUGAGGUGAAGCCUAAUUUUGAAGACAAAAGCUAAGAAGAGCAAGAGAUCAGUGAAUAGAACUUGACUUGGAUUUUUUUCUGUUCUCCUAUUUUGUAGAUACAAUUAGCAUUAUCAGACCCAUUUAGAUUAUUAUGGGAUUAUAACAACUAUCUAUUAUGAUUAAUUUUAUGUUCUUUUGGUCAUUUUUCA